AUGUUUAAAGAUUUUUUUAAUCUAUAUAUCUAUUUCAUCACUUUUUUUAAAAACUCAGCCAUCUUUUUCAUCACAGGUGAGAUUAGUGCAACCUUGAUCGCAUCGCAAAAGUUUCUUUUUUUACAAAAGUUAUUAAUAGAAAUUAACUCUAUUAAUAAAACAUUGAUUUUGGGACACACCAUAUUAUUAACUUCCCCAUAUUGA
This is a non-coding RNA of Vicia faba (fava bean), 204 nucleotides long. Lineage: Eukaryota; Viridiplantae; Streptophyta; Magnoliopsida; Fabales; Fabaceae. The record is from the annotation of a GenBank genome assembly.